GAUGAGAAGCUUGCUUCUCUGAUGUUAGCGGCGGACGGGUGAGUAACACGUGGGUAACCUACCUAUAAGACUGGGAUAACUCCGGGAAACCGGGGCUAAUACCGGAUAAUAUUUUGAACCGCAUGGUUCAAUAGUGAAAGACGGUUUCGGCUGUCACUUAUAGAUGGACCCGCGCCGUAUUAGCUAGUUGGUAAGGUAAUGGCUUACCAAGGCGACGAUACGUAGCCGACCUGAGAGGGUGAUCGGCCACACUGGAACUGAGACACGGUCCAGACUCCUACGGGAGGCAGCAGUAGGGAAUCUUCCGCAAUGGGCGAAAGCCUGACGGAGCAACGCCGCGUGAGUGAUGAAGGUCUUCGGAUCGUAAAACUCUGUUGUUAGGGAAGAACAAAUUUGUUAGUAACUGAACAAGUCUUGACGGUACCUAACCAGAAAGCCACGGCUAACUACGUGCCAGCAGCCGCGGUAAUACGUAGGUGGCAAGCGUUAUCCGGAAUUAUUGGGCGUAAAGCGCGCGUAGGCGGUUUCUUAAGUCUGAUGUGAAAGCCCACGGCUCAACCGUGGAGGGUCAUUGGAAACUGGGAAACUUGAGUGCAGAAGAGGAGAGUGGAAUUCCAUGUGUAGCGGUGAAAUGCGCAGAGAUAUGGAGGAACACCAGUGGCGAAGGCGGCUCUCUGGUCUGUAACUGACGCUGAUGUGCGAAAGCGUGGGGAUCAAACAGGAUUAGAUACCCUGGUAGUCCACGCCGUAAACGAUGAGUGCUAAGUGUUAGGGGGUUUCCGCCCCUUAGUGCUGCAGCUAACGCAUUAAGCACUCCGCCUGG
RNAcentral lists this ribosomal RNA (823 nucleotides) under Mammaliicoccus sciuri. RNAcentral describes it as "bacterial SSU rRNA". It matches the Rfam family "Bacterial small subunit ribosomal RNA", at positions 70 to 876 of the family's 1533-position model. The record is from RNAcentral. Lineage: Bacteria; Bacillati; Bacillota; Bacilli; Caryophanales; Staphylococcaceae.